RNAcentral lists this ribosomal RNA (301 nucleotides) under uncultured bacterium. RNAcentral describes it as "partial 16S ribosomal RNA". It matches the Rfam family "Bacterial small subunit ribosomal RNA", at positions 509 to 807 of the family's 1533-position model. The record is from RNAcentral.
CAGCCGCCGCGGGAAUACGGAGGGAGCUAGCGUUGUUCGGAAUUACUGGGCGUAAAGCGCACGUAGGCGGUUAUUCAAGUCAGAGGUGAAAGCCCGGGGCUCAACCCCGGAACUGCCUUUGAAACUAGAUGACUAGAAUCUUGGAGAGGUCAGUGGAAUUCCGAGUGUAGAGGUGAAAUUCGUAGAUAUUCGGAAGAACACCAGUGGCGAAGGCGACUGACUGGACAAGUAUUGACGCUGAGGUGCGAAAGCGUGGGGAGCAAACAGGAUUAGAUACCCGGGUAGUCCCUGUCUCUUAUAC